RNAcentral lists this ribosomal RNA (401 nucleotides) under uncultured Bacillota bacterium. Its description in RNAcentral is "bacterial SSU rRNA". It matches the Rfam family "Bacterial small subunit ribosomal RNA", at positions 97 to 526 of the family's 1533-position model. The record is from RNAcentral. Lineage: Bacteria; Bacillati; Bacillota.
GGCGAACGGGUGAGUAACGCGUUGGAUAACCUGCCCUCAAGAGGGGGAUAACUCCGCGAAAGCGGGGCUAAUACCGCAUGAGCCCGCAAGGGGAAAGAUGCAAAUCGCUUGAGGAGGGGUCCGCGUCCGAUUAGCUAGUCGGUGAGGUAAGAGCUUACCGAGGCGACGAUCGGUAGCCGGUCUGAGAGGACGGACGGCCACACUGGGACUGAGACACGGCCCAGACUCCUACGGGAGGCAGCAGUGGGGAAUUUUGGGCAAUGGGCGAAAGCCUGACCCAGCAACGCCGCGUGGAGGACGAAGGUUUUCGGAUCGUAAACUCCUGUCCAGAGGGACGAAGCAAGUGACGGUACCUCUGGAGGAAGCCCCGGCUAACUCCGUGCCAGCAGCCGCGGUAAUAC